Molecule: long non-coding RNA, 805 nt
Organism: Vidua chalybeata
Lineage: Eukaryota; Metazoa; Chordata; Aves; Passeriformes; Viduidae
Exons: 4
Source: RefSeq, a predicted model, not a curated record
AAUAGGGUACGGAUCCCCACGGAGAGCGGCGGAGCAUCCCCGGGGUGAGAAAGGAAGACACGGACAGAGCAUCCCCCGGGGCAGCAAGCACCGAGAGCGGCCGAGCACCGCCCCAGAGCGAGGGACACGGAACCGGGAGCACCACGGGGACCCAUGGAGCAUCCACCCGGGUCAGCGGUGAAGAGGGUGCCGGGAUCGGGCGGGAGGAGCACGGACACCCACCGGAUCAUCCCCCACAGGGUAGGAAUCCCCACGGAGCAGCGAGAGCUGCGGAGCAUCCCCGGGGUGCGAAGGGAGGACACCGACAGAGAAUCCCUUGGGUCAACGAGCGCCGAGAGCGACCGAGCAUCCCCGUGGUGAGGACGACGGUGCCAGGAGCAGCACGGAGAGUGAGAUAGCAUCCCCCGGAGGGUAGGGAUCCCCACGGAGAGCGGCGGAGCAUCCCCGGGGUGAGAAAGGAAGACACGGACAGAGCAUCCCCCGGGGCAGCAAGCACCGAGAGCGGCCGAGCACCGCCCCAGAGCGAGGGACACGGAACCGGGAGCACCACGGGGACCCAUGGAGCAUCCACCCGGGUCAGCGGUGAAGAGGGUGCCGGGAUCGGGCGGGAGGAGCACGGACACCCACCGGAUCAUCCCCCACAGGGUAGGAAUCCCCACGGAGCAGCGAGAGCGUCGGAGCAUCCCCGGGGUGCGAAGGGAGGACACCGACAGAGAAUCCCUUGGGUCAACGAGCGCCGAGAGCGACCGAGCAUCCCCGUGGUGAGGACGACGGUGCCAGGAGCAGCACGGAGAGUGAGAUAGCA